RNAcentral lists this ribosomal RNA (253 nucleotides) under uncultured bacterium. RNAcentral describes it as "partial 16S ribosomal RNA". It matches the Rfam family "Bacterial small subunit ribosomal RNA", at positions 524 to 776 of the family's 1533-position model. The record is from RNAcentral.
AACGUAGGAGGCGAGCGUUAUCCGGAUUUACUGGGCGUAAAGCGCACGCAGGUGGCCGUGUAAGUCGGACAUGAAAGCUCCUGGCUUAACUGGGAGAGGUGGUUCGAAACUGCAGGGCUUGAGGUUGGGAGAGGGACGUGGAAUUCCCGGUGUAGUGGUGGAAUGCGUAGAUAUCGGGAGGAACACCAGUGGCGCAAGCGGCGUCCUGGCCCACACCUGACGCUGAGGUGCGAAAGCGUGGGGAGCAAACAGG